UUCCUGGUGGUCCAGUGGUUAAGACUCUGGGCUCCCAAUGUCCCAAGUUCGAUCCCUGGUCAGGGAA
Molecule: transfer RNA, 67 nt
Filed under: Bos taurus (domestic cattle)
Lineage: Eukaryota; Metazoa; Chordata; Mammalia; Artiodactyla; Bovidae
Also listed under: 4 other names
Rfam family: tRNA
About the family: Transfer RNA (tRNA) molecules are approximately 80 nucleotides in length.
Source: Rfam by way of RNAcentral